This 484-nucleotide ribosomal RNA is filed under the name uncultured bacterium. Its description in RNAcentral is "partial 16S ribosomal RNA". It matches the Rfam family "Bacterial small subunit ribosomal RNA", at positions 30 to 507 of the family's 1533-position model. The record is from RNAcentral.
AUUGAACGCUGGCGGCAGGCCUAACACAUGCAAGUCGAGCGGAUGAAGGGUGCUUGCUCGUGGAUUCAGCGGCGGAGGGGCGAGUAAUGCAUAGGAACCUGCCUGGUAGCGGGGGAUAAGGUCCGGAAACGGGCGAACAUACCGCAUACGUGCAGACGGCGUACGUGGGGGAGCAUCGGAUCUUCCGACCUCAGACGAGUCUAGGACGGAUUAGCUAGUUGGUGGGGUAAAGGCCUACCAAGGCGACGAUCCGAAACUGGUCUGAGAGGAUGAGCAGUCACACUGGAACUUGGACACGGUCCCGACUCCUACGGGAGGCCGCCGUGGGGAAUUUUUGGCCAUGGGCGGAAGGCUGAUCCAGCCCUGCCGCGUGUGGUAAAGAAGUCUUCCGAGUUUUAAAGACUUUUUGUUGGGAGAGAGGGGAGUAAGGUUAUACCUUGCUGUUUUGACGUUUCCAACAAGAUUAGCCCCCGCUUACUUCGUG